This 447-nucleotide ribosomal RNA is filed under the name uncultured bacterium. Its description in RNAcentral is "partial 16S ribosomal RNA". It matches the Rfam family "Bacterial small subunit ribosomal RNA", at positions 329 to 792 of the family's 1533-position model. The record is from RNAcentral.
GCCCAGACUCCUACGGGAGGCAGCAGUGGGGAAUAUUGCACAAUGGGGGGAACCCUGAUGCAGCGACGCCGCGUGGGUGAAGGAGCGUUUCGGCGCGUAAAGCCCUAUCGGCAGGGAAGAAGGAGGACGGUACCUGACUAAGAAGCCCCGGCUAACUACGUGCCAGCAGCCGCGGGAAUACGGAGGGGGCAAGCGUUAUCCGGAUUUACUGGGUGUAAAGGGGGCGCAGACGGCAGCGCAAGCCAGGAGUGAAAGCCCGGGGCCCAACCCCGGGACUGCUCUUGGAACUGCGCGGCUGGAGUGCAGGAGGGGCAGGCGGAAUUCCUGGUGUAGCGGUGAAAUGCGUAGAUAUCAGGAGGAACACCGGUGGCGAAGGCGACUUUCUGGACUGUAACUGACGUUGAGGCACGAAAGUGUGGGGAGCAAACAGGAUUAGAUACCCGAGUA